RNAcentral lists this ribosomal RNA (400 nucleotides) under uncultured bacterium. RNAcentral's name for it is "bacterial SSU rRNA". It matches the Rfam family "Bacterial small subunit ribosomal RNA", at positions 355 to 752 of the family's 1533-position model. The record is from RNAcentral.
UGAGGAAUAUUGGUCAAUGAGCGAAAGCUUGAACCAGCCAAGUCGCGUGAAGGAUGAAUGUCCUAAGGAUUGUAAACUUCUUUUAUACAGGAAUAAAUGUUGCCACGUGUGGCAAUUUGCAUGUACUGUAUGAAUAAGGAUCGGCUAACUCCGUGCCAGCAGCCGCGGUAAUACGGAGGAUCCGAGCGUUAUCCGGAUUUAUUGGGUUUAAAGGGUGCGCAGGCGGGAAAUUAAGUCGGCGGUGAAAUUUUGCGGCUCAACCGUAAAAGUGCCUUCGAUACUGGUUUUCUUGAGUGUAGCUGAAGUAGGCGGAAUUUGUGGUGUAGCGGUGAAAUGCAUAGAUAUCACGAGGAACUCCGAUUGCGCAGGCAGCUUACUAAACUACUACUGACGCUCAUGC